This 446-nucleotide ribosomal RNA is filed under the name uncultured bacterium. RNAcentral describes it as "bacterial SSU rRNA". It matches the Rfam family "Bacterial small subunit ribosomal RNA", at positions 28 to 474 of the family's 1533-position model. The record is from RNAcentral.
GACGAACGCUGGCGGCGUGCUUAAUACAUGCAAGUCAACGAUUUUUAAGAUAGCAAUAUUUUAAAAAUAGUGGCGCACGGGUGAGUAACACGUAGAUAAUCUGCCUUUAGGUCUGACAUAACUCGUCGAAAGACGGGCUAAUAUCAGAUAAAACAAUAACUUGGCAUCAAGUAAUUGUCAAAGCUUCGGCGCCCAAAGAUGAGUCUGCGGACCAUUAGGUAGUUGGUGGAUUAACAGCCCACAAGCCAACGAUGGAUAGCUGGUCUGAGAGGAUGAUCAGCCACACUGGAACUGAGACACGGUCCAGACUCCUACGGGAGGCAGCAGUAGGAAUAUUGCUCAAUGGGAGAAAUCCUGAAGCAGCAACGCGCGUGAAGGAAGAAGGGUCUUCGGACUUGUAAACUUCUGUAGAAGAGGAAAAUACUCGAUAUACUCGAAAUUAGAUU